This 155-nucleotide ribosomal RNA is filed under the name Dipodascaceae sp. RNAcentral's name for it is "partial large subunit ribosomal RNA". It matches the Rfam family "Eukaryotic large subunit ribosomal RNA", at positions 99 to 261 of the family's 3401-position model. The record is from RNAcentral. Lineage: Eukaryota; Fungi; Ascomycota; Dipodascomycetes; Dipodascales; Dipodascaceae.
CGGGAAAAGCUCAAAUUUAAAAUCUGGCAGUCUUUGGCUGUCCGAGUUGUAAUUUGUAGAUUGUAUCUUGAGAGCGGAUUAAAGUCUGUUGGAACACAGCGCCUUAGAGGGUGACAGCCCCGUAAAAUCUAUUCUCAUUGUAAGAUACUUUCGAA